Molecule: ribosomal RNA, 301 nt
Filed under: uncultured bacterium
Lineage: Bacteria
Description: partial 16S ribosomal RNA
Rfam family: Bacterial small subunit ribosomal RNA
Source: RNAcentral
CAGCAGCCACGGUAAUACCGAGGGUGCGAGCGUUAAUCGGAUUUACUGGGCGUAAAGCGUGCGUAGGCGGCUUUUUAAGUCGGAUGUGAAAUCCCUGAGCUUAACUUAGGAAUUGCAUUCGAUACUGGGAAGCUAGAGUAUGGGAGAGGAUGGUAGAAUUCCAGGUGUAGCGGUGAAAUGCGUAGAGAUCUGGAGGAAUACCGAUGGCGAAGGCAGCCAUCUGGCCUAAUACUGACGCUGAGGUACGAAAGCAUGGGGAGCAAACAGGAUUAGAGACCCCCGUAGUCCCUGUCUCUUAUAC